GCGGGGGCCCAGGCCGCGUGGGGCCGGCGAGGGGAGGCCAGGGAUCAGGGGCGAGGACCCAGGAGCCGGCAGAAGAGCUGGGUGAAGCAGCCCCACACUGGAACAGGAGAGAAUGAAGUCCUUUGUCUCUAAGGGAUCCAGACCAGAAACGGACGAACCUCUGGUUCCCAGAGGGAGGAAAAUCCAUGUCUACUGCCGAGGGAGUUGUUGCCACAACCUCCCUGGAAUGAAGUAUUGCCAAUUACCAAGAACAGUUCUUUCCUAACGGCCAUCUCCCUGGCCGCCUUAAAUCAUUUCUAGCAUCUACUGCAAAGGAAGUCUCGGAAGGAAUUUUUACCUUACAGGAAUAGGAAUAUUUUAGGGUAGUCUCCUAUGCUGAGCACUUCUUCCUCUCAAUGUUUAUUUUGUGUGUGGGUGUUAAUUUCCAGCCAACAAGUCCUCACAGAAUUCCUUGUGAAAAAACUUUUAGUUUUGAUUGUUUUUCUUUUCUGUUGAAGUAUAUAUAUAUUUUUUCAAUCCAUACGGACAUGGAGAUGACUAAUACUCUUGGCCUAAUGUGAAAACCUCUAAAACUGUGUCUCUGCCAUGUGGGUCCAAAGCAUGAAGCACUGGAAAUUUUAAACAAAUGUGUGUGAAUAUGUUAAGCCAAGAGUGCCCCAGUACUCUUCCACCAGACUCUGUGGCCUCAGAUCUGCAAGAGAGGUAUUGGGAUUAGGGAUACCAAUGAAGGGGAUGUGGCUGGAGGGCAUUUAGAAUAUGGUGAUGUCUUCUAGUGUCAAGACUUUCAAUACCAUCUCUACACUGACAACUCCCAAAUCUAUAUCUUCUUCCUGGACUCAUUCUCUAAGUCCAAAAUUGCAUAUCCAACUGCCUAGGAGACAUAUCCACUUGGAUGUCCAGUAAGCAUCUAAAAUCACAAUGCCAAAUUUCUCCCACCCAAAUCCUUUUUCUUCAGCCCUUAUCUCUCUCACCUUAUAUCCAAUCAUUGGCCUUUAAAAUAUAUAUCCAGAAUCAUACACUUUUGCAACACCUCCACAAUUUCCACCUUGCUCUAAGCCAGUGGUCCCCAAUUCCCAGGCAGUGGACUGGUACAGGUCUGUAGCCUGUUAGGAACUGAGCCACACAGCAGGAGGUGAGCAGUCAGCUAGCGAGUGAAGCUUCAUCUGUAUUUGCAGCCGCUCCCCAGUACUCGUAUCACCACUUCAGAUCAUCAGGCAUUAGAUUCUCAUAGGAGCAUUGGUCGCUGGUGCCAAAAAGGUUGAGGACUGUUGUUCUAAGCCAUAAUUGUAUCUCACUUUAUUGCAGUAACCUUGUAAUUAGUCUCUCAGUUUCAACAUUUGCCAUUUCCAACUUAAGUCUGUUCUCAGCACAACAGCCAUAGUGAUCCUGAUAAGAUAUGAGAUCAUGUUCUUUACUCAGAACGCUCUCAUGGCAUCCCAUGUUACUUGAAGUAAAAACAAAAUUAUCAUCAUUAUGGCCUAUAGAAUCUGGUACUGCUUGCUCUCUGACUUCCACUCCUAUUGCUCUCCCCUUCUUCACUCCCCUCCUUCCACAAUCACCUCUUAGCUGUUUUUCAAACACACAUGGUGCGUGUCUGCUCAGGUCUUUUCACUUGCUUUUCCCUUUACCUGGAUCACUCUUUCAGAUAUCCAUAUGCCUUCCUCUCUCAAUUCAGUUCUCUUUUCUAAAUGACAUCUUUUCAUCAGACCUCUGGCCACCCUCUGUAAACUCCAAAAUUCCUCUUCCCCUUUUCUGCUUUAAUUCAUAGUACUUAAUACCAUCUGACAUGUAAUUUACCUUGUUUAUUGUCCUCUCUCAUUAGAAUGUAAGCUUCAUUUUUGUUCACUCCUGUAUCCUCAGCAACUAAAACUAUACCUGGCACAAAGUAGGCACUUAAUAUUCAAUGAAUGAAUAAAUGAGCUGUUUAGCUGUAUUAAGAGAAAUCAUCUACCCUUGACCUUUACCUUAUGUAAAGAGAGUGACAGUCAUAUAACAUUAACAAUAUUUAAAAAACUAGUGAAACCUAGGGAGGAAUAAAGUUGUCUAGGUCAGAAAAGAAAGAAUAUACCUGGAAGGAAUUGAAGAAAUGACCACUGAGGUGAGUCUUAAAGGUUGAGACAGUAGGAAGACAUUUCAGACAGAUGAGAACAUUGUGAAGCAUGGGAUAAAAGGAUGUGUUGGAGUAAAUGGGAGAAGCUGGCUGGCAUUUACCUUGGAUGGUGGGGAGUAUAAGAGGAAAAACGGGUGAGGUGUGUUGAGACCAGAUUAUGAAAGUCUGAAGGCCCAGUUAAGGAAUGGAUAAUUUAUCAGCAAAAGGUGAACCAUCAAAGAAUAUCUAGCAAAGUGUGGAAUGAUCACAUUUGUGUUGUUGAAAGCUAACCUCAAUAUUUGUAUCUGCACUGAAUGCAAGAAGCCAACUUAAAGGCUGUUAAUCCAGGUGCGAAGUGAUGAGUGGUUAAUGUAACAUGAGUGGUAUGGGGAUCUAGAGGGAAGGACAGGAAGCCCAGUGGUUAAAAGCACAGGCUCUGGUAUGAGGUUGCCAGCAGUAAUCACAGUUCUACCAUUUAUUGGCUGUGUUAUUUAACCUCUACCUCAGUUUCCUCAUCAGCAAAUUAACUAUAAUAGUACGUUACCACACAGGGUUAUUAUAAGGAUUAAAUGGGAUAAUCCAUGUAAAAUGUUUAUCGUAGCAUGUGGCACUUGGUAAUGCUUAAGAAUGUAGUUAUCACAUUAUUAUAAUUUGCAGGGUUUGAUCAAUAGAAUGGAGAGGGGGUGAGGGAGAAGGAGGACUUUGUGGUCUCGAUUUCUAAGGCCAGACAGAUGGCAAUUCCAUAAACAAAUAGCCUAUGUUUUCUUCCUCACCAGACCAAAUGUGGGCCUAGAUUGGCAUCAUCAGCAUCACCUGGGAACUCGUUAGGAAUACAAAUUCUCGGACUCCCCUCUAAACCUAAUGAAUCAGAAACUCUGAGGUGUGUUAGUCUUGUUUUAACAAGCCCUCCAGGUGAUUCUGAUGCACCCCAAGUUUGAAAACCUUGGAGUCUAUAUCAGGGGUUGGCCAACCUAUUCUUUAAAGGCUAGAUAGUAAAUAUUUUAGGCUUUGACAGCCCUGGGGUCUCUUGUACUAUUCAACUUUGCUAUUGUAGCAAAAAAGACAUGUAAAUAGUGUGGCUGAUAAUGAGUGGUUGGUUAAUCUAAGGUCCUAGUGGGAUAGCAGCAAUAUAGACAAUGAAAGAAGCUCUGGUAUGAGACCAAGCAGCAAUCACAGUUCCAACAUUUUAUAAAAUUGUAUUUAGGGACACAAAUUUGAAUUUCACAUUUUUAUUUGUCAUGAAAUAUUUAGAUUUUUCAACUAUUUAAAAAUUCUGAGCUUAUUUUAGCUUGUGGCACAUAUAAAAACAGCAUUGGGCUGUAGUUUGCCUACCACUGGUCUAGAGACCAAUGGACAAAACUGGAGCCAAUCUUCAACAAAAUGGCGGGGGGGUGGGGCGCACAUAACUCUAAACAGUACCCAUGUUAAGUCAAGGCAGGGUGGCCUAGAGCUAUUAUUCUGCCAAUUACAUGCUUCCUAUUUUUUGUGUUAAAAUACUCUGCUUUUGUGAAAUGAUGGAGAUAGUAAAUAGCAAUCGGUGGUGGUAGUUUUUUAAUGUCCUUACUCGGCAAAAUAAAAAGAUGACAAUUUUA
This is a long non-coding RNA of Pteropus alecto (black flying fox), 3681 nucleotides long. RefSeq lists it as uncharacterized. The transcript has 2 exons. The record is from RefSeq and is a predicted model, not a curated record. NCBI's taxonomy places the organism in Eukaryota, Metazoa, Chordata, Mammalia, Chiroptera, Pteropodidae.